This 910-nucleotide ribosomal RNA is filed under the name Aspergillus niger. Its description in RNAcentral is "LSU rRNA". It matches the Rfam family "Eukaryotic large subunit ribosomal RNA", at positions 37 to 964 of the family's 3401-position model. Lineage: Eukaryota; Fungi; Ascomycota; Eurotiomycetes; Eurotiales; Aspergillaceae. The record is from RNAcentral.
AGCAUAUCAAUAAGCGGAGGAAAAGAAACCAACCGGGAUUGCCUCAGUAACGGCGAGUGAAGCGGCAAGAGCUCAAAUUUGAAAGCUGGCUCCUUCGGAGUCCGCAUUGUAAUUUGCAGAGGAUGCUUUGGGUGCGGCCCCCGUCUAAGUGCCCUGGAACGGGCCGUCAGAGAGGGUGAGAAUCCCGUCUUGGGCGGGGUGUCCGUGCCCGUGUAAAGCUCCUUCGACGAGUCGAGUUGUUUGGGAAUGCAGCUCUAAAUGGGUGGUAAAUUUCAUCUAAAGCUAAAUACUGGCCGGAGACCGAUAGCGCACAAGUAGAGUGAUCGAAAGAUGAAAAGCACUUUGAAAAGAGAGUUAAACAGCACGUGAAAUUGUUGAAAGGGAAGCGCUUGCGACCAGACUCGCCCGCGGGGUUCAGCCGGCAUUCGUGCCGGUGUACUUCCCCGUGGGCGGGCCAGCGUCGGUUUGGGCGGCCGGUCAAAGGCCCCUGGAAUGUAGUGCCCUCCGGGGCACCUUAUAGCCAGGGGUGCAAUGCGGCCAGCCUGGACCGAGGAACGCGCUUCGGCACGGACGCUGGCAUAAUGGUCGUAAACGACCCGUCUUGAAACACGGACCAAGGAGUCUAACAUCUACGCGAGUGUUCGGGUGUCAAACCCGUGCGCGCAGUGAAAGCGAACGGAGGUGGGAGCCCCCUUGCGGGGCGCACCAUCGACCGAUCCUGAUGUCUUCGGAUGGAUUUGAGUAAGAGCGUAGCUGUGGGGACCCGAAAGAUGGUGAACUAUGCCUGAAUAGGGCGAAGCCAGAGGAAACUCUGGUGGAGGCUCGCAGCGGUUCUGACGUGCAAAUCGAUCGUCAAAUUUGGGUAUAGGGGCGAAAGACUAAUCGAACCAUCUAGUAGCUGGUUCUGCGA